GACGUAGGGGGCCAGCGUUGCUCGGAAUUACUGGGCGUAAAGGGUUCGUAGGCGGUGUGGCAAGUCGGGAGUGAAAUCUCUGGGCUUAACUCAGAGGCUGCUUCCGAAACUGCCGUGCUAGAGUGCGGGAGAGGCGAGUGGAAUUGCAGGUGUAGCGGUGAAAUGCGUAGAUAUUCGCAAGAACACCAGUGGCGAAGGCGGCUCACUGGCCCGAUACUGACGCUGAGGCACGAAAGCGUGGGGAGCAAACAGG
RNAcentral lists this ribosomal RNA (253 nucleotides) under uncultured bacterium. RNAcentral describes it as "partial 16S ribosomal RNA". It matches the Rfam family "Bacterial small subunit ribosomal RNA", at positions 524 to 776 of the family's 1533-position model. The record is from RNAcentral.